This 292-nucleotide ribosomal RNA is filed under the name uncultured bacterium. Its description in RNAcentral is "partial 16S ribosomal RNA". The record is from RNAcentral.
GGACUACUGGGGUAUCUAAUCCCGUUUGCUCCCCUGGCUUUCGUGUCUCAGCGUCAGGAUACCCCCAGCGAGCUGUUUUCACCGUUGGCGUUCCAAGUGAUAUCUACGCAUUUCACCGCUCCACCACUUGUUCCGCUCGCCCCUAGGUACCUCAAGAGAACCAGUAUACCAAGCAGUUCCACGGUUGAGCCGUGGGAUUUCACAAGGUACUUAGAACUCCGCCUACACACGCUUUAAGCCCAGUGAUUCCGCCUAACGCUCGAGGCCUCUGUAUUACCGCGGCGGCUGGCAC